ACCUAGGUUAAGUUCUUGAAGAGAAUGCCUUACCUCAUGUAUGAGCAGAUYCAGUCUUUCAUAUUCUGUAAAACAAAUCAGUUUAGUAUCAGUGAGUAUCAUUCCACUGAUGGUGGAAGGAAUAAAAUAUCUGAUUUUCCUGUCUUCUGAAAGAUUUUUUCUUUAUGUUGUCUAGCUYUGCCUUCAUCCUCGAGAGAUACCAUGUGGCAUGAGGCAAGUGUCUCGGGUAUCCACUACUGCAUAAAUAUAAAGGAAAUUAUAAACUUUGUGUAUCUUUAUGCACUGAAAGCAUUUCUAUGCCUUCAUGUCAUAGUAGGAAGGAUACGGAGGAUUUAUCCUGUGACAUAGAUGAGUGGAAGACCUGUGCACAUCCAUGCUGUUAGGAAGAAAAGCAAAUUCUGCCUUAUAAUUUGGAAAUAAUGGCAUUUUGCAACCUGACAAAGUAUCCUAAAUGGCACAACACGAUCAAUAUAUUGUAACAUUCCAGCAAGAUCUUUUUUUCUUUGUACAAAAUAAUGCAUACAUCUAUGUCUCGUGUAUACUAGAGACCCCUCACUGCAAAUUUCAGAUCGCAUCCCUGCAAAAAAACAGGUAUGAAAAUAWCUAAUUCUAUUGAAAUUGGUGAACAUAGGGGGAAAAAUCCCUCAAACAUAAACCCAUAGCCAUCACACUGUCUUGUGACAAAUUUGAAGCCUGCUCUGUUUUGACUGACCUUGUCUUCCACAGCUUAGGAGACUCCUUCCCCAGUGAGUGAGUAUUUGAAUUGCAGCUCUAAUAGCAUAUGGAGCAUGUUGUCUGCAGUUAUGACAAAAGCAAUCUCCACAUUGGGGUGCAGGCCAUAAUGGACAGGACUUUGGGGAGGUAACAUUUUAUCCGUAUUUUUAUGGUAACUUUCAUAAUUCAGCUUCGAAGAGACUGCAAACACAGAGGCAAGCACCGACUUCCUAUCAAACUGUCAAAAAAAUAAUAAAAACCUUGUCACUAAGACACUGCUGGCAAUCCUCACUAGACAGAAUAAGGAACCUGCUUAGGCAUAAAUGAAAUUGUUCUAUUAUGGAGUCAUUGUUGAGAACAAGACUUUUAUAUCACCAUUAUAUCCGUGGAAAUUAAUCUAAUUUGUUCCCCAUUUUAAUUAGCUCCUUUAUGUCACACCCAAGUCCCGAUGCUUGCAAGAAAAAAAAAAAAGAUGAAUUUUUUAAUAAUCAGAUUAUCCUUGUGAAAGAAAACAGCAGAAAGAUAUUUUAAUUCAAGKAUAAAGAGACAGAAAUAUUUUUAAAAGAAAAAUGUUAUUUCUUCCAAAUUAUGAAGUGCUGCUCUCUGGUGUAACAUUAUUAUUCUGUAGCAAUAAGGAGCAACUUAUUAAAUGAAGCAAUUUAUGGUAGCAGCUCUCAAAAACACAAACCUCUAUUGAAAUGAAAGCAAGUAAUGGCAUAAGGACUGUAAAAUAAAAAGGCAGAAUAUCUUCUUUUAGACCAUUACAAAAAUGCAUGUAUUGUCUAUUUGAAAAUCAAUACAGUUCCAUAAAAUAAAAUGGAGCUGUGGUAUCAUCAUCAUAAUUUCUAUUUCAAAUGGUUUGCUGAGAGCCAAAUUGUGUCUUUUAUGGAAAAAGAAUGACAAAUGGUUUAAUUCAAUAUCACACGCAUGUGUAUAUAUGAGCUGAAAUUCUGCUACAACUCAAAGCUGUUAGGCAAAUAUUUUAGUAUCACCAUAAGUUUAAAAACAACAGACAAGUGGGAGUACAUCCAUUUAUUUACACUUGUACUGACUUAAAAUUCAAAAUGCUAUUUGAUGCUUUUAAAGUACUGCUGUGGGAUGUUAAAUUACUGCGGAAUUCUUACUGUUCCGAGAUACCUUUCAACCUGCCAAGAUGCAUGAUGAUGAUAAUAAUAAUAAUAACAGCAGUAGUGUGGGGGCCUUUAAAAUAAUGUGGCGCUUAUUUCUGUAAGAUAAAUACCAUUUUCACUAACCCCUGUUUUAUGAUUCAGCAUUUCUGAUGCAACAAAGUGAAAUAAUGAAAGUAAAACAACAACAGGUUUGUGUGGGAUGAGAAAGGGAAAACGAGCACGUGCAUUGUCAGAAUUUCUGCAGAAAUUGCAGGGAAAAAAAAAAGCUCAUGUAAGUAGCGCUUCGCUCUCUCUUUCCCCCGGGGAAAAUUCCUCCUCUUGUUUUUAGUGUUCGCUACAUUUCCUUCUUUUAUUCCUUUUUCUGAUCUCGUCCUUUUGUUCCCCUCGUCUGGUGUCGGUCCUCCCGCAGCGGGAGCUGCCGGCAGCGGGGCCGGAGCGCGGCGGCCGCGGGGCGCUGCAGGCACAAACCCCGGCUCGACGGGCGGAAGCCUGGGGUUGCCGUCGACCGAGUCGCCUCAGCCCCGCAGGUCGGUGACCUCUGGCUCCUGCCCAUGUCACAUCCCUGUCCUCCGGGUGGAAACUGCAGAAGAAAGCGCAGGAUGCGCCUUGGUUUUGCUGACACCGCUCCAGCCGCGCUGGCUCCCGCACUGAAUCCUGGUAAAAUGCAGUAUGAGAUUUAAGGUUAUUGUCUGUCUCUCUCUAACUUMUGACAUCUCUUUAUAAGAAGAAAGAGUCACAGCCAACUGUAACAGGAGGGCAACACAAUAAAUCCUGAGAAACAUACUGUWCACAAAUCAGAAGGGUUUUAAAGCACUCUGAUGAUGGAAGAGAUAURCAAGUACAACUGAUAUUACCUGAUGACAUUUGCUUACUGCUUCUCAGCCAGAAGAAUAUCCCAAAGCAAAUUACUGUCAGAAGCCAAAAAUUGUAUCCAUAAUUCAUCCUAAAGMACUGUCAACUUAAUUUUAAAGUAAUUUUUCUGCUUUCUGAGUUCAGGCUGCAGUGGUAAGGUUGCAAAUCCAUAAAUCAAACUACAGGAAAUAAAGGAAAUACAUACCUCCAUUCUCCUAAAACUUCAUUGUAAGCAUAGUUUUUAUUAAUUUUAAACUUCAAGUACUAGAAAGAAACAAAAUUGUGAACUCUCUUGUGUACAGCUGUACACAUCUGUUUUGUGACUCCCAAGCCAUCUUCUGGGCUAUAGAGAAGUUUUUGUAGGUUUAUAAUAGCAGAAAUAAAUUUAGAUUGUGUAUUGCUCUGAGCACAGAGAGGAGCACAUGUGUGUAUUUGGGURUUAGGCUCAGCCUGGUGAGGCCUGUAAAAGGCACACUGUGCUGUGAGAUCUCCUGCAUUUGCAAGUGCUGUUCCAGGGCCCUGUGCAGAUUUGAGGACACUCAUGAAAUGUCCUCAGUUUCCAAAUGUUUCCAAACUCACCUCAUACAUCUCCAGUGGCAGUGUUGCUGAUUCAAGUUCUUUAGCUCYAAGAGACACAUCAGAGAGCAGGUGUGGAAGCCUUGUGUGGAGAAUCACUCAAAGCCUGGUGCAUCCUGAGUCCCUGAGUGCAAGAAGAGCAGCCUGGCAGYGAGUGUGAGCAUGCUGUUGUUUCUGCUUUUCCACACACUGGGGCAAAUCAUGCAGAAUUCCUUGUCCCAGGACUCAGUUUAUCUCCACAGAAGGAGCGGAGCCCCAGUGUGUGUCCCGGCUCAGAACUGCCACCAGCAGCCACUGAACAGCAGCCACGUUCUGAAUCUCAGCACACCACGAAAAUCCUCCUUUAAUCAAAUGCUCCUGGGGGAGCAAGGAAUUCAAGAUGCACUUCCAACCUGGGCUGGUGCACAGCACUGGGUCAUACUURGCAUGAAGAGAUUUCUGCUUGUCGCUGCAGUGUGACGGUCGGUGGACACUAACAAGCAAAACCAACAGGCAGCACAUGAAGUAGCAUAGGAACGUAAGGGCAGUGAGAAGAGGCGAAGCUACAGGACUGAGUGGGGCACUGUGGUGGCUGGAUUAGAGAGCAUUUUGCUUCUCAGCUUGAAYUGUUUAAUUAAGGAAUUUCACAGUAAUUUUGACUAAGCUUAAUGAGUAACAAAUUCAGUGCCCUGGCUCACUAAAAUCUUUCUUGCUGUCUGAAUAAGCUGCAAAGCUUGGAGCUGGAGGAAUUCAGUGCCUUAACUGCACUUUCUCUCCAGCCUGCACUGUAGGCAUUUUGUGAGAACAUGGAGCUCUAUGUCACAGCACCUUUUUUUCAUGGGUUAAGCCAGACUGUUGCAGCACUCCCAGGUUCUGCUGCCCAGGCACUUUCUGCUGAAACAAUCCCUUGGUACGGUUGAGGGUCAGUCACACGGUGCUGGUUGGAUUAUGUGCUGCCUGUUGUGUCCACAAAGRUAUGGGAAUAUAGCAAAGACAAGAGAGUAACAAAGCUUUAGUGGUUUGCUGUCCCAGACAGUCAGUGGAGUAAGCUGGAACAAACUGCAGAAACUCUGAGUUAUUUCCUCAGCUGUCCAGCAUUCAGGGAGAUCCAGAGCACGRGGACUGUUGCUGCCACUGACGCCAUUGCCCUCCUUCUCCAGACUGGAUUUUUGGCCAAAGUUAAUGAUUCAUAAGAUUCUGUGCUGGUUUCACUGUGAGCUUCCACAUUUGCAUAAGUAAAAGCUUCUGCUGCUUCUGUAGGGAGAUUCUUAGUGAUAUUGCAGCACAAAACAUUGAUAUUAUGUAAUUAUGGCAGUUCAUCUUAACUUAAAUGAAAUUGUUACUUUAAACUUGCUCUAAGUGGCUCACAAUGUAACUUUUGUAUGACACACCUACAAAACAAAUGAGUUAAUCACAAUAUAUGUCAUUUUUAAUUUUUCUCUUUCAUUUUUCUUUCAGUCAUUCUCUCUUUGUAAUUAGCAUGAAGACUACCCUUCAGUCAAAACUAGCCACCUGGAAAGYUUCAGCUUGUAAUAUGCAGCUUUUUUUUGUGAAUUAUGAAUGUGCAAAAAAGAGACCUUUCUCCUUACACCCACUUCCUUGCAUAAUUCAAAUAUGAAUGAAUGAAUUUUAUUCAGGCUUGCAAAAAAAAAAAAAAAGUCAUAUUUCAGCUGAUAACAAGCAUGAAAAAUUUCAGACGAAAGGGAUUUUUUUUAAAAAAUAAUAUUCUGAGCAUGGGAGAACAGCAGGUUAAGACACAAGUCUCAGUGCAGCCUUAACUAUAACAAUUGCUAUCAAGCAAAUACUAUAACCAAGCACUAAAUCUUCCUUUGUGCUGCCCUGGUGCACAGUAACAGGGACAGAGUAGAAUAAUAAAAGCUGGUCCCCUUAUGCAAACAGCAGGGCACAGCACUUGACAGAAUACAAGAAGAAGGUGAGCCUGCCUACUGUUCUGGCUUGCUAACCAUAUUCCCAAGAUCUGUGGGUUAGUUGUCAUCUCUACUCUAAUCAGAUAGCAAAAGCUACUUCAAACACUAGCAAAGGGCAUAUUUUGGUCCUUCCCAGAAGAACAUUUUACCAAUUCUUUGCCUCCAAAUAUACUAUUUGAUUAAACAAAGUGUUUGAAGGAAUUCAUAUAAGCAACCUGAUGGUUCAACAAGUCAAAAAGGGAAUGGAAUUAGUGUCAGGCUUUUUUCUGAUUAACCGUGUAUUUUAAAAAUAUGUAUCUGCGAAGAAGGUAUUAUCUGUGCAAAGCARAAUGAGAUUUGGGCUCAUGCCAGUUCCACUUUGAAAAUAAACUAUCCCAGUGAAGUUACCCUCUGGAACAUUUYUGUAUCACGUUCUCUCUUGUUCCUAAUAAUGAUUUGGGGAUAAGUCCAGCUCUCCUUUUCUACCCAGAAAACAGGAUUAAAAUUCUUGUUCAUUUGCUGUGUCUAUUUAAAAAAUUCCCAUUACAAUGGCUAAACAGUAGUGAAUAYUUAAGUAUUACCUUGCAGAUUCGCAGAUCCACGUCGAUUAGAGGAGCAAUAGACAGGAUUUGCAAGUGGCAAGGCUGGACACAAAAAAUUCCCUUCCAGUCUGAUGUGAGUUGACUGUUGCAAGUUGAGCUUGGCAGCAAGUGACCAAAAUUGAGUUGUCAGCAUCCUCCUGCRUAGUGGAAGAAGUUGUUGCUUUCUUGUGCAGAUGCAAGAGUUUCUGUGGGAAAACAGRACAUAAUCACAGUUCUGAAUGUCUCUGUGGAUUGGUAAUGUCUCUAAUACAUAGGUCACUUGUGCAAAUUCAGUCCCAGCUGGAUGGGAAAUUAUUGAAAAUGGUUGUUUUUUGAUUGAUAUAAAAUGAGUUGUCAGCUUGGUUCAAUACUCCAGGGCAGAUGUCCAUAGCAUAAUUGGCACCUGUCAGAAGCAAAGAAUUCCUUGGUACAGAGUAACAACUACUCAUGCUACCACCCAAAACAGUCCUUGAGUGCCAGGGCUUAGAGAAGAAGGCAGAAAAAGAAAAAUACUUUUGGGCAGGAUCUUUUAUGCCAUAAAGUCAAGAAGAGGUUUGACAUGCCACUUGGGGCAACCUUUUCCCUGGGAUCCUGGCUAGACACUCUCAGCUCUUCUGCUGUUUGGUCAACACUUUCUCUAAGAAUUAGAAAAAAACWCACAUUUGCUUACUUAUUGUUAUGGUAAACAAUAUUUUUUAUUGUUUACCAUAACAAUAAGUUUUUAUUUAUAAAGACCAGUUACUAAAGAAAUUUUUACAUGUUUGCUCAUUGUAAAAAAAGCUGUAAAUAAAGUAGUUUUUGUAUAUCUUGAGAAAUUCUCCUCACAAAAAUACAACUAGAAAAAGAAGAGAAUAUCUUCUUAGCAAAAAUAAGUCAAAGAAAYAGCCAGCACUGACAGUACCGCAGUGUCAGUAUUACACUGUUCGUUGAUAGUAAACAGUGAUCCAUUGUUUACCACAGAAUGGAUUAAAAUGGAUUUUUUCCUGUAAGUCACUAAAUAGCUGUCAUAUGGUCAUUACUGCCUUUGACCAAGUAGGGUACAGCUAACAACAGGAAUGAAUUCUACUUCCCAUCACCAAUCUGUUGAGCUGGCCACCUUCUUCAUGGGGCCGGUGCUUUGGGAGGUACCAGCUGAAGGACUUUCCAUUAAAACUCAUUUUACUGUCUUCAUCUAGUGCAUGGCUCAACUUUCCUUCUUUCCUUUCAUCUCUGUUUCCUCCUUUAGAUUAUUUUUCAUUAUGCCUCCCCCCCAGCAUACCCACACUUUGCCUUUCAUCUCUCUACGUAUGCUAUUCCAGCACUUGUCAAGCCCAGCAGGAGGCACAUGGGAGAACCAAACAAUAUGAUAUGUUAGGUGGAAGAAAAUAUUAGAACAAUCAUUUAUUGUCACACUUUAAAGAGGUCUGCUAUGUUAUUUAUUUUAUUAUUCUGUAUUAGGUACAUGGUUUAGUUUUACAGGCAUUAUUAAUCACUAAAAUACAUUACACUUUCAGCCAGGAUGUGAACAUUUUAAAAGCAUUCAUCUUGCUUCUUUAAACAGAAACAAUGGGCCCUCUGCACUGCCCUCCCUCCCUUUUAGUCAAUAAAUCCUUUCUAUUGAUUCAGGAAAUAACUGUUAAACCCUGUUUUAUAUUUUAAGUUUCACUAGCCACAGUCAGCCAUAUAAUUUUGCUUAAUAACAAAUGGAUCCUCUAUUUUUGCUGUUUASUAGGUGUUUGGAUAUCAAACUCAGCUUGAAAGUAUUGGGUAGAAGAGGACAAAACCUAUAAUGGCAGUGAGCCACCACAAGAUUUCCUAAAUGAGUGCUGCAAUAAAAUGAAGUAUCUGUAAAAAGUGUAUAUAUGUGUGUGUAUAAAAAAAMCAGUCAUAUCAGUAGAUGAGUGAUGAAUGAAAAAAAUCUGUCAAUGAGUAUGGAUUCCCUUGAGCCAGCCUGGAUCAACAGAAAAUACAGAUUUUCGAUAAUUCAUGGCUUUGGUAUUAUUUAUUCUCUUCUGAAAUAUCCAUUGCAAAUCUCAGAAAGAUAAUUAGGGAAUUAUCAUAAGUAGUGCAAAUUGUGUUAGAUUCURUGUAUCCCAACCCUGGUCAGAAUCAUUAGUAUUGUUUAAUURUUACAAAUAUAGUCAUUGCAUUUUAAUAAAUUGCCUUCGUUGUCAAUAUCCACAAUCGAUUACUUCUCUUAAUGUUCGUGGAUAGGUUAGUUACCAGGUAAUCUUACAGUUAAUAUGUACAACAAGRAAGCAAAAAUGUAAGAAAAUGCAAAGGUCAAAACCAUGUUUCUAUUAUGAAAAAAAUGAAUGAUAAUGACAUAAUUUUUUCAGCUCAUCAGGUUCUUUGCUAAGUGCCUCUGUUAUUGCCAGAUCAGUAGUGURUAACAAAGAAGUGCUUUCUGUAGGCUGCUUCAUUAGCCUGCCCUGUAGGACCUCACCUCAGACCUUUCACUAAUCUGUUGGCCAGCUCAAUAGCCUUGUUAGUUCUAUUCACUUCUUCCUGGCAGCGGAUUUUCUCAGCUGUAGCUCUCUCAAAGGCAGUGGUUAAGGCAGCCAGGAUUGUGUCUAGUUCCUUCAAAUAAAARCAGUAACAAACAACUCUGGACAUUGUAAGAACGCAUAAAAAUAUUUCUGCUAUCCCAUUUUAUAUUGCUGAAAGUUGAAUUACACAGUGCAAGAAAGGUGUAAACAUUAACUGUGCUCAGAAUUUUGUUUAGGUCAUGGUCCAAAGGUGGAUUCAGGAAAACCUGGGUAAAAAUGGGGCUGGUCUCCUGAUUUCACCCACUUGUUCAGAACAGCCUUCAAAAUGAAAUUACAAACUUGAUCUUAUAUCAGUAAAAAAAGGAAUGUCCCCUUCUCCCUGAGGAUUCUGAAAUGAAAUUAAAUAUGCUUCUUAUUACAGCUGUAUAUCCUGUAUAGGKGAACCAAAAUUUGAAAAGACAGCUGUUUGGAAACUAAAGAAAACGAGGGGUUAAGGAUGAUAGAUAAAAUACUUGAAAAUGCCCAAGUCUGUAUCCUUUGCUGACUUUCAGUUAGAUUAUGCUYCCCAGUGCACAAACUGUUUCUGAAAACAGCCAGAAAUCCUCAGCCACCUCAGAUUUGGGAGCAAGCAGCUGCUGAUGUCUGAUACAUCAAAGCAUUUAAGCACACAAACAGUCCCACUAGGUCAAAGCCUUAGUUAUUCCCAGAGGGAGGAGUGGAAGAUAAUUCAGCAUGGAUGACUGAGCACGAAGACAAGGCAAGAACGACGUGCAGCUCCAGAGAGUCACAGCCAGAACACCCAAAUGACUCUGAGUGCAGAGGAUGAACUGUCCGGGGAGCUGAUAAAGGAAAGGUCAGGAGGGUGCUGUAAGGCCCUGGCAUGGCGAGCACUCCAGAUCUGCUGUCACUGGGUGCUCGUGAGCACAGCCAGGGGCUGGAGCUGGGGCCAUUCAGGCAGCCAGAGAAGCUACUCCCUCCAGCAGCACGUAUGUAUUCCCUUCAGCUUGGCAAAUAUUUAUCCAUGCAGUUCUUCUGAACUCAGCAGUAUUCCCCAGGGAAGCUCAGAGCUGAGUGUGAUUCCCGGGAGUGGGCUGUGCUUUCUUCUGGCUGUGCUGCCGACGAGCUCUGUGCAACUUGGGAAGGCCAAGGGUGCCCUUGGGAAUCUCCUAGAGAAAUGGUGAAUGSGUGCCUCAAGUCUUCCUGAACUGGGAAUGCCAUGAGGUGGAACCUGUGUGGAUUGUAGGACAUCAAAAAGAACUUUGUGGUGGGACAGAUAGCUAUUUUAUUGGGAAGGUCUGGACAAAUUUCGAGUAAAUUACAGCAAAAGCAUUUCUAAAUGGGCCCAGCAGUUUCGCAGCACCCCCACAGCCUAGAGGGCCUCAGGAGUGGCAAAGUGGGGACACGUCACCUCCUGCUGCCAUGUAUCCCUAGACAAGGAGAGCACAGGCAGUGCCUGUGUUAGAAACGCGUCCUUUAGGCAGACUGAGGCACUGACCCAAUCCUGCCUCUCCUUCCUGCACAGGGAAGACCCAGGCACCGACUGAGAACYCGCCAUGCAUGAAGAAAAGCGCCUGCUAUGGUUCCAAGGCACAUUAUGUGUGGCUGCAGAGGCUGAGGAUGUUAUCCCAUCAUUUACUUGAAACUAAAAAAUGUUAGUGAGUGAUAAAGUGUACCUCUGCCAGUAUUACAAUGAAUCAUGUGGGRAAAACCUCUGACAGAGGAAGGUAUUACAGAUAAUUGAAUUUUAGAGGCUUCUAAAAUGACCAAAGGAAGUAUUUUUAAAUACAUCUAGUGGUCCUGACUCUAAAGUUCAUGUUUUUGAGUCAAUCAGGAUUCCAGCUUUCUCCGAGAUUUCUGUCUUCCACUGCAGUGAACCUUAUUGCUCGAUAUGUGUAUACAUUGCCUAAACAGAAACGAAGUUUUCAAAUGGUAGCAAUAUCUCUGUCUGCAGGUGAGAUCAAGGACAAACACUUAGGCACUGAAGCUAAGGGAAUGCAGAGAGAAAAAAUGUGGAAAAGCUUCCUGCUGUUCUGAGCAUGGAUGCUGCAAUGCUCAUGGUGGUUAGCAGAACUCGCUUGAAGCUUUUUUUAGAGGUAGUUCAGGAAUUAGGAAGGCUUUGUUACUGCAGUUUUGGCUCUACCGGACCAGACUGAAACCYAUUGUGUGCUACUCUUCCCUCUGACCAUUUGGUGUUUGGCAAACCUUCCUCUAAAAGAAAAAAAAUAAAAGGAGCUAUUGGAAGCAAAAAAYUAAGUGAAAGACAGAGAURUAAAAGAACACAUUUGUGUGUAUAUACAUAUAUACAUAUAUACRUAUAUGUCCCUCUGUGUGUGUAUGYAUGUAUGUAUUUAUGGUUGAACAACAGAAGAAUUCCAGUUCAUGAAGGUCAAACCCAGAACUUGUGAAAGGCACCAGAGGCAGUGGAAGUGCUUGCAGGAGCCAUAUGGGGAACUGGAGUUGCCAGCUCCUCCRUGAAUUUUUUCAAGGUUUUAUCAUAUGAAACACUGUGUACCAGGAAAAUAAUGUAGCAGCUCACUGUUGGGUACCAUCUCUUCCCUCUCAUCUUUUUCUACCUCAUUUGCAAUACGGGCACCCCUUCUCAGUACCUUUACUCUGCUGGCAAGGUAUCUGUGAUGUGGAACUGAUUUUGGGCAAGACAGAGAGGCCAAACUGCAGGUGAAUAGCAGAGCUGCACAGAAUCACUUCCUAUUCAAAUGGAAACCCAGAACAAUCAGGCCCUUAAUUUGUUACAAUUCACUAUCCACAUUUUUGACUUUCUGUAAAUAAUGUGUUAAAUGGAUAAAAGAAUAUACCAUUUUUCCUUCUUUGCUCUGAGUUACUGAUAACAAGU
Molecule: long non-coding RNA, 11058 nt
Organism: Malurus melanocephalus (red-backed fairy wren)
Lineage: Eukaryota; Metazoa; Chordata; Aves; Passeriformes; Maluridae
Exons: 6
Source: RefSeq, a predicted model, not a curated record